UUUAUUUCCUCACAGUUCUGGACGCUGGAAGUCCGACAACAAGAUAUUGGAAAGACAACAUCUGAAAAUUCUGCCUGAUAGAUAGAGAGAAGCAUCCUGGCAAGAGACACGGAGCUGACAGACGAAGAGAUGCACGUCUGACAGAAUUGGGACUAUUCACCCAAAGUGAGACAAAGUGAAAUGCCAAGCACAUUGAGAAUCUCUUCCUUCUUACUGUCAACGGAUUCACCUAAUCAAAGCACUUUUAGUCACUGCAUCCAAUUUCCAUCCUCAUCCAACACAUGGUGGGGUCUUUUUCUCGUUUCUUCUGAGUUGACACACACAAAACCCAAGAGUCCCACUUUUGGCGAGGAACGUGUUGCUGUCAGCUUGCAUUUGUUACCGCACAUUGGUUCCCCGUGUCCCAGUAAUGACCCCCUGUAAAGGCCACUGGGCAAGAGAAUUGCAAGAUCGAGCGAGGCGGCGGGAAUUACAGGAAAGGAUUAACGGCAGAACAGCCUGUUGCGACAGCGAAAAACAGCCCGAGGACAGGGGCGUGCUCCCAUCUGACAGGCGGAAGUGUGCCAGGGUUUAUGUAUUAGGUCACAGCAAGAAAGCUAUUUUUGCUGUGCCCUCUGACCUUCUGUAGAAGGUGAGCCCCAAGAUGCCUAUGAUACACACCAGACUUUUGCAGGCUGCCCUGACUCAAGAGGGAAGAGCAGAUGCUGACUAGUGCAGGGUCCUGUAGAGUUUGGGAAUCCACCAUUCACAACAGGAUGAAAGGAUUUUCAUGGGUGUUGCCAUCUGCUGGAACAAGAAAAGAUGAUGUAGAUACUGCUGGUUUGGACUGGCUCAGAGAGAAAAGAAACAAAUAGAUGGGAGUACGUGCCAAGGGUCACUGAUGCUUCCAGAGGGCAGUGGCCUCGGCUGUCUUACUCAAGGCUGAAUUCUUAGCCCCUACAAGACUCAUGCCUGGCAUGUAACAAGUGCACAGCCAGUUUUCCUCCAAUGAAUGAGGGGCUUUCUCAGAAUAAAGUUUUUGUAAUCAGAGACCAAGACAGCCACUGAUUCUCUGCAGCCUUGAAGUCUGUCUUUUCUGAAUAUCCAGACAGAGGACAAGUCUUGAUUAUAACGAUCAUUAGCCUAGAGUACUGCCCAGUUCUGAACUCAAGGAUAAGAAUCCCCUCCAAGCUCCUGCCAGGCUGUCUCCACACUCUGACAUCACAUCCUGCCUCUUUGAUUAGGUUUCACAGUGAAUUUUGCCCCUCCCAAACACACUUUGUUAAUCUUUUUUAGGUCUGGGAAUUCAGCCAAAAAUUCCUGAAGGAUGAAUUCCUUUUCCUCGGUGAGGUUGACAUUUGAGCACACAUCGCCCUCUUGUGUCUACGACACAUUUGGCAACGUAGUUUCCAGCACCUGCUAAUGCACACAGCAAAUUGAAGCCUUGUUAACAUCCCUUAAGCCUGCAGACCUCGGUACAAGGCGGAGGGAGAACAAACGCACCAAUUUUCCCAGAAUAGUCAAGAACAUCCAGAAGAAUCCAGAAUUUGUGAAGAUGGUACUGGUGGACCUUACCUUCCGAAAACUGCUAUCAGGGCCUCUGCAGGAGGCCCUGGCUGUGAUAAAUGUGCAUCUGUAGAGUGCACAACCUGAACAUCCUUACCAAGCAGCCCUGACCAAUAUCUUCCUGCCUAAAGAGUGCCAAUGCUGAGAGUAUGCCUUUAAAACCCCAUUUUGGCCAUUUCUCAAGAAGUAAGUGAGACUUGUACUUCCCUAUCUCCCCUUAAGGGGAGUCCCCAGUGCAUUAGUGGUAGAGCUCUCCCUAAGGACUUUUGUGUGCGUCUCCACCCUCUGUUCUUCUAGGUGCAUCCUGUUUUUAAUGGGGCAUAAUCUCUUACCUCAAAAGAGCAAAGCUCCACUGGCAAACCUCUAGACCACAUUAGUGAUCAGCAAGUAAGGGGGACAUUUGGUGCAGCAUCACAUUUCUGACAUCCCUUCAUGCUUUUUAUGUCUGACUCUGUCAUCUCUGCUAAAAGAAGCCUCUCUUUUUAUUUCCUUUUUUUCUUCUAGUUUUUUUUUUUGUUUUUUUUUUUUUUUUGUAGACAGGGCCUAGUGGUCUUCCUAGGCUGGUCUCAAACUUCUGGACUCAAGGGAUAUUCCCACCUCAGCCUCCCAAACUGUUGGGAUUACAGGCGUGAGCCAUUGGGCCCGGUCCUCUUUUUUU
RNAcentral lists this long non-coding RNA (2203 nucleotides) under Homo sapiens (human). RNAcentral describes it as "HSALNT0048250". The record is from RNAcentral. Lineage: Eukaryota; Metazoa; Chordata; Mammalia; Primates; Hominidae.